UUUAUCUUAGUUAAAUUAAUAAUAGUAGGUUGCAAGCUUACAGUUGCUUAGGCAGAUAUAA
This 61-nucleotide transfer RNA is filed under the name Crangonyx forbesi. RNAcentral's name for it is "tRNA-Cys". The record is from RNAcentral. Lineage: Eukaryota; Metazoa; Arthropoda; Malacostraca; Amphipoda; Crangonyctidae.